RNAcentral lists this ribosomal RNA (430 nucleotides) under uncultured bacterium. Its description in RNAcentral is "bacterial SSU rRNA". It matches the Rfam family "Bacterial small subunit ribosomal RNA", at positions 960 to 1391 of the family's 1533-position model. The record is from RNAcentral.
CGCGAAGAACCUUACCAGGUCUUGACAUCUUCGGACCGCCCUAGAGAUAGGGUCUUCCCUUCGGGGACCGAAUGACAGGUGGUGCAUGGUUGUCGUCAGCUCGUGUCGUGAGAUGUUGGGUUAAGUCCCGCAACGAGCGCAACCCUUGUCCUUAGUUGCCAGCAUUCAGUUGGGCACUCUAAGGAGGCUGCCGGUGACAAACCGGAGGAAGGUGGGGAUGACGUCAAAUCAUCAUGCCCCUUAUGACCUGGGCUACACACGUGCUACAAUGGAUGGUACAAAGGGCAGCGAAGCCGCGAGGUGGAGCAAAUCCCAUAAAGCCAUUCUCAGUUCGGAUUGUAGGCUGCAACUCGCCUACAUGAAGCCGGAAUCGCUAGUAAUCGCGGAUCAGAAUGCCGCGGUGAAUACGUUCCCGGGUCUUGUACACACC